RNAcentral lists this ribosomal RNA (461 nucleotides) under uncultured Hymenobacter sp. RNAcentral's name for it is "bacterial SSU rRNA". It matches the Rfam family "Bacterial small subunit ribosomal RNA", at positions 920 to 1382 of the family's 1533-position model. The record is from RNAcentral. Lineage: Bacteria; Pseudomonadati; Bacteroidota; Cytophagia; Cytophagales; Hymenobacteraceae.
CCCGCACAAGCGGCGGAGCAUGCGGAUUAAUUCGAUGCAACGCGAAGAACCUUACCAAGGCUUGACAUACAUCGGUAACGCCCAGAGAUGGGUGCCCCUUUGUGGUCGGUGGACAGGUGGUGCAUGGUUGUCGUCAGCUCGUGUCGUGAGAUGUUGGGUUAAGUCCCGCAACGAGCGCAACCCUCGUCCUAUGUUGCCAGCGGGUCAUGCCGGGGACUCAUGGGAGACUGCCGGGGUCAACUCGGAGGAAGGUGGGGAUGACGUCAAGUCCUCAUGGCCCUUAUAGGUGGGGCUACACACGUCAUACAAUAGAUGGUACAAAGGGUCGCCAACCCGCGAGGGGGAGCCAAUCCCAUAAAGCCAUUCGUAGUCCGGAUCGCAGUCUGCAACUCGACUGCGUGAAGUCGGAAUCGCUAGUAAUCGUGGAUCAGAAUGUCACGGUGAAUACGUUCCCGGGUCUU